CGUUCCUUCGCCAAUUCUAUUGAGUUUUUCAAAUUCAAUAACAUUUCGACAACAACCAAAGCGAUAUUUUUCUGGCACAACAGUUUUGCUUUCUUCUGUGAAAGAUUCCAUUUCCAGAAAGGCAGUUGAUUUGGCCAGUGUGGGAUCCUCCAUAAUAUUUGUGUCAACUCUGAUAAGUGAUAUUAUAUCUAAUUUCUGCUUUUGGCCUGCACUUUAAUAUGGUAUAAAUAAUCCACAGACCACACAAAACAAGACAGAAAACUUUUAUAUAGUCAUAGUGUUGAAUCAAAAAAGAAAAACAUUUUCAAAAGUCAUAUAUAUAAAACACUA
This is a non-coding RNA of Paramuricea clavata, 330 nucleotides long. The record is from the annotation of a GenBank genome assembly. NCBI's taxonomy places the organism in Eukaryota, Metazoa, Cnidaria, Anthozoa, Malacalcyonacea, Plexauridae.